GACGAAGCGUCCAAACGUUGUUCGGAUUCACUGGGCUUACAGAGUUCGUAGGCGGCCUGGAAAGUUGGGCGUGAAAUCCCUCGGCUCAACCGAGGAACUGCGCUCAAAACUGCCAGACUUGAGGGAGAUAGAGGAAAGCGGAACUGAUGGUGGAGCGGUGAAAUGCGUUGAUAUCAUCAGGAACACCGGUGGCGAAGGCGGCUCUCUGGGUCGUACCUGACGCUGAGGAACGAAAGCUAGGGGAGCGAACGGG
This 253-nucleotide ribosomal RNA is filed under the name uncultured bacterium. RNAcentral's name for it is "partial 16S ribosomal RNA". It matches the Rfam family "Bacterial small subunit ribosomal RNA", at positions 524 to 776 of the family's 1533-position model. The record is from RNAcentral.